CGAAAGCCUGACGGAGCAACGCCGCGUGAGGGAUGAAGGCCUCUGGGCUGUAAACCUCUUUUAUCAAGGAAGAAGAUCUGACGGUACUUGAUGAAUAAGCCUCGGCUAAUUCCGUGCCAGCAGCCGCGGUAAUACGGGAGWGGCAAGCGUUAUCCGGAAUUAUUGGGCGUAAAGCGUCCGCAGGCGGCUUAGUAAGUCUGUUGUCAAAGCGUGGRGCUUAACYCCAUUUCGGCAAUGGAAACUAYUAGGCUUGAGUGUGGUAGGGGCAGAGGGAAUUCCCGGUGUAGCGGUGAAAUGCGUAGAUAUCGGGAAGAACACCAGUG
Molecule: ribosomal RNA, 323 nt
Filed under: uncultured bacterium
Lineage: Bacteria
Description: bacterial SSU rRNA
Rfam family: Bacterial small subunit ribosomal RNA
Source: RNAcentral